UACGAAGGGGGCUAGCGUUGCUCGGAAUCACUGGGCGUAAAGCGCACGUAGGCGGACUCUUAAGUCGGUGGUGAAAUCCUGGAGCUCAACUCCAGAACUGCCUUCGAUACUGGGAGUCUCGAGUCCGAGAGAGGUGAGUGGAACUGCGAGUGUAGAGGUGAAAUUCGUAGAUAUUCGCAAGAACACCAGUGGCGAAGGCGGCUCACUGGUCCGGUACUGACGCUGAGGUGCGAAAGCGUGGGGAGCAAACAGG
RNAcentral lists this ribosomal RNA (253 nucleotides) under uncultured bacterium. RNAcentral describes it as "partial 16S ribosomal RNA". It matches the Rfam family "Bacterial small subunit ribosomal RNA", at positions 524 to 776 of the family's 1533-position model. The record is from RNAcentral.